GGCCGCCGGCUCCAACAUGCCGUGGGAACAGCCACUCAACCAGAUCCUGCAAUCGGUCGAAGGGCCGGUCGCCAAGAUCAUCGCCGUCAUCAUCAUCAUCGUCACCGGGCUGUCGCUCGCGUUCGGCGACACGUCGGGUGGCUUCCNUCGUGUUUGGCUUGUCGAUCGCCUUUGCCGCCUCGAGCUUUUUUCUGUCGUUCUUCUCGUUCGGCGGUGGAGUGGUGAUCUGAUGGAUCCCGAGAUCCCAGGCUUCGUGACGCCGGUACAUCGC
This 271-nucleotide unclassified non-coding RNA is filed under the name Hevea brasiliensis (rubber tree). Lineage: Eukaryota; Viridiplantae; Streptophyta; Magnoliopsida; Malpighiales; Euphorbiaceae. The record is from RNAcentral.